This 351-nucleotide ribosomal RNA is filed under the name uncultured bacterium. RNAcentral describes it as "bacterial SSU rRNA". It matches the Rfam family "Bacterial small subunit ribosomal RNA", at positions 917 to 1271 of the family's 1533-position model. The record is from RNAcentral.
GGGCCCGCACAAGCGGUGGAGCAUGUGGUUUAAUUCGAUGAUACGCGAGGAACCUUACCAGGGCUUAAAUGUAGUGGGACAGGUCUAGAGAUAGACCCUUCUUCGGACUCAUUACAAGGUGCUGCAUGGUUGUCGUCAGCUCGUGCCGUGAGGUGUCAGGUUAAGUCCUAUAACGAGCGCAACCCCUAUCGUUAGUUGCCAGCGGGUCAUGCCGGGAACUCUAGCGAAACUGCCGGUGCAAACCGAGAGGAAGGUGGGGACGACGUCAAAUCAUCACGGCCCUUACGUCCUGGCCACACACGUGCUACAAUGGUAGGUACAGAGGGACGCCAACCCGCGAGGGGGAGCCAA